AUGAAUUAGCAUCGGAAUUCUAUUAUGCAUGCAAGUGGAUGACUCAAGAAUCAAGAUAUUAUUUCGUAAUUAAAGUACACCUAAAAGCACAGAGGGAAAAUUCUUUUAACCCCCUCAGUGUGCUACAUAGAUUAUCAAAAAAUACCUUUCAGCCUAUUCGUCUACCUAAACAAACUUCCCGGAUGAAUGCAAUAAUGCAUUCAGUGCCAUUUACAGUGGUGGCGUCAGGCGAUUGAUUCUUUCGACCGUUCAUCGUUUCUUAUUCCGGCUGAGCUUCUUCUUAUGGUGCAGCUAGUUUCUCCAUCUUCAAUUUGUUUGUUAUUAUGCGGCGUUUUUUCUUCCCACAAGAGUUGCGCCUAUGAAAUCCCAAAGAAACUACUUGGAGGAAUAUUUGUGUUGAGGAGAUUUUUGCAGACCAAACACGAUUUCUAGUUUAGUCGAACACGAUUUCAGGUCCCAAUUUGAAUGUUCAAAUGUUUUUUUAAUAACCCCUAAAUUAAUUAGCUUAUGUCCUACAAUUUUUCACCCAUUUAAUCUGUUAUAUAUGAUGAUGCCUUUAAAUUGUUAUAUAUGUGUCUUUGUUUUUGUAUAAUCCUAUUAAAUUCCUAGAUGAUAAUAUUUAGUAAGAUCUUUUAUGCACAAAA
Molecule: long non-coding RNA, 644 nt
Organism: Malania oleifera
Lineage: Eukaryota; Viridiplantae; Streptophyta; Magnoliopsida; Santalales; Ximeniaceae
Exons: 2
Source: RefSeq, a predicted model, not a curated record